Molecule: long non-coding RNA, 650 nt
Filed under: Homo sapiens (human)
Lineage: Eukaryota; Metazoa; Chordata; Mammalia; Primates; Hominidae
Description: non-protein coding lnc-CCDC187-1:32
Source: RNAcentral
CCGACCAGGGCUGGCUGUGUCUGUGACUUUCUAUAUCCACUUGCACGGGCUGUCAACAUUGGCAGUGAUGUUGCCACCUCCCCCCAGGUGCCUGGACAGCAAGAGGGACAGAGCUGUGCUGGCCGCGCUGGUUGAGAAGCAGCAGCAAGCCCUCAGCAGAUUGGAGAAGGAGCAGAGGGAAAUCCAAUACCUGAGACACACGCAGCUGUUCAGGCACCGGGACAGGAAGCUGCUUCUGCAGCAUCAGAGGGACGUCGUCUCCAUGCCGGGGCCUGUGGACAUCCUCCCCAUCCCGGGGCCCACGGACGUCGUCCCAGCGCACGAGCUGCAGGCCCAGGCCAAGCUGCAGCAGGGUUCCAGCCCCAAAGUCAAGGCCGCCUGGGAGGGAGGCUCAGAGACAAGCCAGCAGCCAGAGGCCUCCCUGUGUCCCCUGACCCCAUGCAGGCCCAGCAGCUCCACCAGCCAUCGCCCCCAGAGCAGCCCCGCAAGCUCAAAGGCCACGCGCCCUCCCACUGAGCAGCAGGAUGUGACGCCACCCCAGACAACCUCCGAUGCAGAUGGUCACCAGCAGCCUCCGAGGCCAGCAUGGGGCGAGGACACACACGACCCCCAGGGCCCGCUGGUGGAGAGUGGCAGCCAUGUCAGUCAAG